CCUUCCGUAGGGUGACCUGCGGAAGGAUCAUUA
Molecule: ribosomal RNA, 33 nt
Filed under: Lophiotrema mucilaginosis
Lineage: Eukaryota; Fungi; Ascomycota; Dothideomycetes; Pleosporales; Lophiotremataceae
Description: partial 18S ribosomal RNA
Source: RNAcentral